This 1346-nucleotide ribosomal RNA is filed under the name uncultured bacterium. Its description in RNAcentral is "partial 16S ribosomal RNA". It matches the Rfam family "Bacterial small subunit ribosomal RNA", at positions 28 to 1381 of the family's 1533-position model. The record is from RNAcentral.
GACGAACGCUGGCGGCGUGCUUAACACAUGCAAGUCGAACGGAAAGGCCCUGCUUUUGUGGGGUGCUCGAGUGGCGAACGGGUGAGUAACACGUGAGUAACCUGCCCUUGACUUUGGGAUAACUUCAGGAAACUGGGGCUAAUACCGGAUAGGAGCUCCUGCUGCAUGGUGGGGGUUGGAAAGUUUCGGCGGUUGGGGAUGGACUCGCGGCUUAUCAGCUUGUUGGUGGGGUAGUGGCUUACCAAGGCUUUGACGGGUAGCCGGCCUGAGAGGGUGACCGGCCACAUUGGGACUGAGAUACGGCCCAGACUCCUACGGGAGGCAGCAGUGGGGAAUAUUGCACAAUGGGCGGAAACCUGAUGCAGCAACGCCGCGUGCGGGAUGACGGCCUUCGGGUUGUAAACCGCUUUCGCCUGUGACGAAGCGUGAGUGACGGUAAUGGGUAAAGAAGCACCGGCUAACUACGUGCCAGCAGCCGCGGUGAUACGUAGGGUGCGAGCGUUGUCCGGAUUUAUUGGGCGUAAAGGGCUCGUAGGUGGUUGAUCGCGUCGGAAGUGUAAUCUUGGGGCUUAACCCUGAGCGUGCUUUCGAUACGGGUUGACUUGAGGAAGGUAGGGGAGAAUGGAAUUCCUGGUGGAGCGGUGGAAUGCGCAGAUAUCAGGAGGAACACCAGUGGCGAAGGCGGUUCUCUGGGCCUUUCCUGACGCUGAGGAGCGAAAGCGUGGGGAGCGAACAGGCUUAGAUACCCUGGUAGUCCACGCUGUAAACGGUGGGUACUAGGUGUGGGGUCCAUUCCACGGGUUCCGUGCCGUAGCUAACGCUUUAAGUACCCCGCCUGGGGAGUACGGCCGCAAGGCUAAAACUCAAAGGAAUUGACGGGGCCCCGCACAAGCGGCGGAGCAUGCGGAUUAAUUCGAUGCAACGCGUAGAACCUUACCUGGGUUUGACAUGGAUCGGGAGUGCUCAGAGAUGGGUGUGCCUCUUUUGGGGUCGGUUCACAGGUGGUGCAUGGCUGUCGUCAGCUCGUGUCGUGAGAUGUUGGGUUAAGUCCCGCAACGAGCGCAACCCUUGUUCACUGUUGCCAGCACGUUAUGGUGGGGACUCAGUGGAGACCGCCGGGGUCAACUCGGAGGAAGGUGGGGAUGACGUCAAGUCAUCAUGCCCCUUAUGUCCAGGGCUUCACGCAUGCUACAAUGGCUGGUACAGAGAGUGGCGAGCCUGUGAGGGUGAGCGAAUCUCGGAAAGCCGGUCUCAGUUCGGAUUGGGGUCUGCAACUCGACCUCAUGAAGUCGGAGUCGCUAGUAAUCGCAGAUCAGCAACGCUGCGGUGAAUACGUUCCCGGGGCU